This 148-nucleotide non-coding RNA is filed under the name Phytophthora megakarya. Its description in RNAcentral is "Eukaryotic large subunit ribosomal RNA". It matches the Rfam family "Eukaryotic large subunit ribosomal RNA", at positions 1187 to 1338 of the family's 3401-position model. The record is from Rfam by way of RNAcentral. Lineage: Eukaryota; Oomycota; Peronosporomycetes; Peronosporales; Peronosporaceae.
GCCAAAAUACCCGCUCACCUAGAUACCAUAAAAGGCGUUGGUUCAUUUAGACAGCAGGACGGUGGCCAUGGAAGUCGGAAUCCACUAAGGAGUGUGUAACAAUUCACCUGCCGAAUGAACUUGCUCGGGACAUGCAGAUCAAGGAACU